RNAcentral lists this ribosomal RNA (199 nucleotides) under uncultured bacterium. RNAcentral's name for it is "partial 16S ribosomal RNA". It matches the Rfam family "Bacterial small subunit ribosomal RNA", at positions 328 to 539 of the family's 1533-position model. The record is from RNAcentral.
ACGCUCGACACCUACGGGAGGUAGCAGUGGGGAAUAUUGCACAAUGGGGGAAACCCUGAUGCAGCGACGCCGCGUGAGCGAAGAAGUAUUUCGGUAUGUAAAGCUCUAUCAGCAGGGAAGAAAAUGACGGUACCUGACUAAGAAGCACCGGCUAAAUACGUGCCAGCAGCCGACGGUAAUCUGAGCGGGCUGGCAAGGC